RNAcentral lists this transfer RNA (72 nucleotides) under Ovis aries (sheep). It matches the Rfam family "tRNA". Rfam says of the family: Transfer RNA (tRNA) molecules are approximately 80 nucleotides in length. Their secondary structure includes four short double-helical elements and three loops (D, anti-codon, and T loops). The record is from Rfam by way of RNAcentral. Lineage: Eukaryota; Metazoa; Chordata; Mammalia; Artiodactyla; Bovidae.
UCCCAGGUGGCUCAGAUGGUAAAGAAUCUGCCUGCAAUGCAGAAGACCUGGGUUCAAUCCUUGAGCUGGGAA